GGACGAACGCUGGCGGCGUGGAUUAGGCAUGCAAGUCGGACGGUAGGGCUUUAUCGUAAGAUAGAGUUUGAGAGUGGCGAACGGGUGAGUAACACGUAGGAAUCUACCCUUAAGACGGGGACAACCCAGGGAAACUUGGGCUAAUACCGGAUGAGAGUGCGAGAGAUUGCAUUUAAAAGGAUGGCGAAAGUUGUCGCUUAGGGAAUGAGCCUGCGGUCUAUUAGUUAGUUGGUGAGGUAAGAGCUCACCAAGGCGAUGAUAGAUAGGCGGCCUUAACGGGUGGUCGCCCACACUGGGAUUGAGAUACGGCCCAGACUCCUACGGGAGGCAGCAGUCGAGAAUAGUCUACAAUGGCCGGAAGGCUGAUAGUGCGACGCCGCGUGAACGAGGGAGCCCUUCGGGGUGUAAAGUUCUUUUCUAUACGAGCAGUGCUAUAUAUAUGGAUAGUAUAUAUAGAGGGAUAGUAGUAUAGGAAUAAGCAACGGCUAACUCCGUGCCAGCAGCCGCGGUAACACGGGGGUUGCGAGCGUUGUCCGGAAUUACUAGGCGUAAAGGGCAGGUAGGCGGAUCUACGAGUUUUUUGUUAAAGGCUACGGCUCAACUGUAGUAGAGCAGGAGAUACUGUAGGUCUGGAAUGCGGUAGGGGAAGACAGAAUUCCUGGUGUAGCGGUGGAAUGCGCAGAGAUCAGGAGGAAUACCGAAGGCGAAGGCAGUCUUCUAGGCCGUAAUUGACGCUUAACUGCGAAGGUGUGGGGAUCAAACAGGAUUAGAUACCCUGGUAGUCCACACAGUAAACGAUAAUCACUAGAUGUCGGGUUCUAGAUGGAUUCGGUGUCGGAGCAAACGCGAUAAGUGAUUCGCCUGGGGAGUACGAUCGCAAGGUUGAAACUCAAAGGAAUUGACGGGGGCCCGCACAAGCGGUGGAGCAUGUGGUUUAAUUCGAGGCAACGCGAAGAACCUUACCCGGUUUUGACAUCCACGGGAGGCUUCAGAGAUGGAGCUGUGCCGGCGUAAGCUGGAGCCGUGAGACAGGUGCUGCAUGGCUGUCGUCAGCUCGUGUCGUGAGAUGUUGGGUUAAGUCCCGCAACGAGCGCAACCCUUGCCUUCAGUUACCAUCAUUAAGUUGGGGACUCUGGAGGGACCGCUGCGGUAACAACGCAGAGGAAGAUGGGGACGACGUCAAGUCAUCAUGGUCCUUAUGGCCGGGGCUACACACGUGCUACAAUGGCAGUUACAGAGGGAAGCGAUUCAGUAAUGAGGAGCGAAACUCAGAAAAGCUGCCGCAGUUCGGAUUGAGGUCUGCAACUCGGCCUCAUGAAGUCGGAAUCGCUAGUAAUCGCGCAACAUCAUGGCGCGGUGAAUACGUCCCCGGGCCU
RNAcentral lists this ribosomal RNA (1376 nucleotides) under uncultured bacterium. RNAcentral describes it as "bacterial SSU rRNA". It matches the Rfam family "Bacterial small subunit ribosomal RNA", at positions 27 to 1381 of the family's 1533-position model. The record is from RNAcentral.